This is a long non-coding RNA of Syngnathoides biaculeatus (alligator pipefish), 1618 nucleotides long. RefSeq lists it as uncharacterized. Lineage: Eukaryota; Metazoa; Chordata; Actinopteri; Syngnathiformes; Syngnathidae. The transcript has 3 exons. The record is from RefSeq and is a predicted model, not a curated record.
GCCAUUCACGCAAGCUAGUUGAACGUAGCACGCUAGCCGCUAAUGCGCCGAUGAUGCAAUUUGACAACAUCCAGACAUUGCGAAGCAGGAGUUCAAGCGCGCUCCAGGUCAGGGUGUAGUCAGCCUUUUCGCCCGAUGUUAGCUGGGAUACGCUCCAGCUUUCCUGCAACCCUUGUGAGGAUGAGCCGCUUGGACAGUGACAUGACAUUCAGUUGACUAGCGAGCGGCCCAAGGCACUUCCCUCCAGCCGGGGUCGGGUUUCAUCUCACCAACCGAAGACGACGAGCGCGGCAGAAAAUGGACGGAUGUGAAAAAAAAGCGCCCGCCGCCUCCCUUCCAGCAGUGCCAACGCAAACUGCAGCGAUGCACUGAACAUUGAGUGGGUCGCGUGGUCGUGCGAGUGCGCCGCUCACAGUGUCUCUUGUUCCACAUUCGCCGCAGCGGCGCCUGACUGCUACGCAGCAGCAUUUACGGACUCCAUAUUGUCAUUGGGCAAGUUACGAGUUGGACUCUCAGUUGGCUGGAGAAGGAAGCUGUCCCGCUGACACACAAAAAAAGGGGUUACCCACCCACACAGCUAACUGGCAAGCACCGAAAUGAAAUUUGUCACAACAAAAAUGUGGCCUUUAGUGCUGGACACGCUAAAUGAACCAGCAAGUGUGUUACGCGGUACACGUUUUCAGGCUUUCCAGAAUGAAACGACACACAAAAAUAAAAAAAAAAAGAUUUUCAUCUCAAUACGGGGUGUCGACUUACGACGAACUAGCUUAAUGCGAACAGAUGAUGCAAAAUGCCAGAGGGGCUAACUAAACUCGCAUCAAUGUCACCCUUGCUAUGACCCUGAAAACACAAAUUGUGCAGCAACACAUUGAGACAUACGCUGUAUGUAGUCCCAAGUUUAAGGGCUCCUAUAGUACGUUCAUUGAUACAAAUGUAUGCCUAUUUUGUCACGUAUGCCUGCUUUUUUUUUUUUUUUUUUAUGGUUACACCCGUAGAGGUGAAUAUAUUUCACGCUUCCAUUUUUAGGGGGGCGGGGGCGCUUGCCUUCACGAGGGUCCCAGAAGAGCUUGAGCCUAUCCCAGCUGACUUUGAGCAAAAGGCUCGCCGAUCGAGAUUCGAGCCUGGCACCGCAGAGGUGCGUCCUGGCAGCUUCCAUUUGCAAUUGUUUAUUCGGAUCGUGAAAUGUUCCGUCUGUAUUUGACAUGGAACUGAAGAGCGACUUUUUUUUUUUCCCUGCAUCCUGUCUCCAGCUAUGACUGCUUCCUGAUUCAAUCGCAAUGUGGCAACUGUCAACAGCCGUCGUGCAAAACGCGCACUCAGUGACACAUUUGCCACGAAAAGACGCGACGUUCUCGGCUACUGGCUGGCUGCUUUUUCGGUGUCACGAAAACUCAUUUAUGGGGCAGGCCGGGCGGGGGACGAGCAAGAGACGCGAAAGUGGGCCAAAGGCUUCAGGCUCCUGACAGGCUCCUGACAGGCUAGCCCCACCUAGCCGGACGGGUUACACGCGAGAGAAGAGGCGAGGUCCGCCGGGGGUGCGGUGCUAGCGCUGCAAAGGCGAAAAUGUGCGCCGAUUGUCUCAUUUUCUCUUUCAUCGACCAGUUCUAGCAACGGAGAC